AAUAAAAUUCUCUUUUCUAAGUUUUCCUUUGUUUUUCACCAGCCAAGUUUCAGAACACAACUGGAGUUCCUUGAGACAGUAUUAUACCCAGAUAUUGUUGUGACUCCCAGACAACACUUCCUGGCAUUGAAUUACACUGGAUCAGGAACUGUUUUGUUCCCAAAGAUACCACAAUUUACUCCAGGAACAUUGACUAUUAUUCUGGUAAGCUUCAGUAUAAGUUAUUCUCUAAACUUGACUUGCUGUAUCUCAUUUCUAGUUGUUCAUGAGGUCAUUUUUCAUCUUUCUUCUGCAUCUAGAAAAUAUGCUUGCACUUAGUAGGCCCAUAAUAAAUAUAUUGUAUUGAAGCUUCAAAACAAAGAAAUCUUAAAUGUAAAAUUUUAAAGUUACUAGAUAUGAUUGAAUAUAAUUUAUAUUUAGCAUGGUACAAGUCAGUGGAGAGGAAGAAAAUAUGAUGGAGUAUAAGGUUAAAGAUAAUAUAGUUUGCUUAGAGGACUUUAGAGAGUCUAUAAGUUUAAUUUUAAAAUUAUUAAUUUAGAUAAAGUUGAAGGAUAUAAGAUAAACCCACAAAAUUACAAAUCUUUCCAUAUAUUACUACCAAAUUCCAGGAGAAAAAUGUAGAAAAAUAAAUUCUAUUCAAAACAACUCUAAAAUAUAUAAAUGAUAUGGUAAUUAAAAGCAUUUAAGAGACACUCAGUACCUAUGUGGAUACAACUAUGAAAUACUCUUUACAGAAAAAAAAGGAAGACAACAAAUUGAAGAGAGAUUAAUUGCUCAUGGUUAGUCUGUGCUUACAAUAUGUAAAUAAAACAAUUCUAAAUUAAUUGAUAGAAUUAAUGCUGUGCCAAACUACCAAGGUUUAUUUUGAAUAAUUAGAUAAAAUUAAGUUUGAAAAAUUCUCUUGGAAGUAUAAAAGGUCAAGAAUCAAAGGGAAACUAGUGAAAAAAGGAGAAGUGAAGGGAAUUUUAGUAAGUUUUUCCUGAUAAAGUUCUGAUAUUGGAAGAGAAUUGAUACAAAUAUCUUAGAGCAAGAGUCAUUCUCCAUUAAAUAAGUAGUCUAAAGGAAAAAAAAAAAUAGAUGUUUUUCACUUGUCAAAAUAAGGCACCAAAACUGUCAUUCCCCCCUUGGUUGUCAUUGAUCAUUAUGUCAAUGAUCAUUAUGAUUAUUAUGUUUAGCUGAGGUCUUUAUUCCUUAUUAGACUUGACUUCCCUCCAACUCUCAUUGACUCUUACCAAUCAAGUUCUG
Molecule: long non-coding RNA, 1245 nt
Filed under: Sarcophilus harrisii (Tasmanian devil)
Lineage: Eukaryota; Metazoa; Chordata; Mammalia; Dasyuromorphia; Dasyuridae
Description: lncRNA (ENSSHAG00000021479.1)
Source: RNAcentral